Molecule: ribosomal RNA, 253 nt
Filed under: uncultured bacterium
Lineage: Bacteria
Description: partial 16S ribosomal RNA
Rfam family: Bacterial small subunit ribosomal RNA
Source: RNAcentral
UACGGAGGGUGCGAGCGUUAAUCAGAAUUACUGGGCGUAAAGCGCACGCAGGCGGUUUGUUAAGCUAGAUGUGAAAGCCCCGGGCUCAACCUGGGAUGGUCAUUUAGAACUGGCAGACUAGAGUCUUGGAGAGGGGAGUGGAAUUCCAGGUGUAGCGGUGAAAUGCGUAGAUAUCUGGAGGAACAUCAGUGGCGAAGGCGACUCCCUGGCCAAAGACUGACGCUCAUGUGCGAAAGUGUUGGUAGCGAACAGG